UUCCGGUUGAUCCUGCCGGAGGCUACCGCUAUUGGAGUUCGAUUAAGCCAUGCGAGUCGCGAGUCUUCAAGGACUCGGCGUACCGCUCAGUAACACGUGGGUAACCUGCCCUGUGCUGGGGAAUAACCUCGGGAAACUGAGAAUAAUACCCCAUAGUUCACCACGCCUGGAACGGUGGGUGGAUGAAAGCUCCGGCGGCAUAGGAUGGGCCUGCGGCGUAUCAGGUUGUAGGGGGUGUAAUGUACCCUCUAGCCAUCUACGCGUACGGGUGUUGGGAGACAUCGCCCGGAGAUGGAUUCUGAGACACGAAUCCAGACCCUACGGGGUGCAGCAGGCGCGAAAACUUGGCAAUGCGAGCAAUCGUGACCAGGGAACUCCAAGUGCAUCGGGUAAGACCGAUGCUUUUCUUGACUCUUCAAAGGUCUUGGAAUAAGGGGUGGGUAAGGACGGUGCCAGCCGCCGCGGUAAUACCGGCGCCUCAAGUGGUAGUCGCUUUUAUUGGGCCUAAAACGUCCGUAGCCGGUUUGGUACAUUCGUGGGUAAAUCAAGGCGCUCAACGUCUUGAAUUCUGCGAGCACGGCCAGACUUGGGACCGGGUGAGGUGUGGGGUACUCUCAGGGUAGGGGUAAAAUCCUGUCAUCCUGAGAGGACCACCUGUUGCGAAGGCGCCACACUAGAACGGAUCCGACGGUCAGGGACGAAGCCUAGGGGCACGAACCGGAUUAGAUACCCGGGUAGUCCUAGGUGUAAACGCUGUGGACUUGAUGUUGGGAGUGCUCCGAGCACCCUCAGUGUCGAAGCGAAGGUGAUAAGUCCACUGCCUGGGGAGUACGGUCGCAAGGCUGAAACUUAAAGGAAUUGGCGGGGGAGCACUGCAACCUGAGGAUUGUGCGGUUUAAUUGGAUUCAACGCCGG
This 915-nucleotide ribosomal RNA is filed under the name uncultured marine archaeon. RNAcentral's name for it is "bacterial SSU rRNA". It matches the Rfam family "Archaeal small subunit ribosomal RNA", at positions 1 to 921 of the family's 1478-position model. The record is from RNAcentral.